RNAcentral lists this ribosomal RNA (377 nucleotides) under uncultured Desulfobulbus sp. RNAcentral describes it as "bacterial SSU rRNA". It matches the Rfam family "Bacterial small subunit ribosomal RNA", at positions 1008 to 1382 of the family's 1533-position model. Lineage: Bacteria; Pseudomonadati; Thermodesulfobacteriota; Desulfobulbia; Desulfobulbales; Desulfobulbaceae. The record is from RNAcentral.
AGGACGCUUCCUUCGGGAAGCGAGCGUACACAGGUGCUGCAUGGCUGUCGUCAGCUCGUGUCGUGAGAUGUUGGGUUAAGUCCCGCAACGAGCGCAACCCUUGCCUUUAGUUGCCAGCAGUUCGGCUGGGCACUCUAAAGGGACUGCCGGUGUUAAACCGGAGGAAGGUGGGGAUGACGUCAAGUCCUCAUGGCCUUUAUGACCAGGGCUACACACGUACUACAAUGGCCGAUACAAAGGGCAGCGACACUGCGAGGUGAAUCCAAUCCCGUAAAAUCGGUCUCAGUCCGGAUUGGAGUCUGCAACUCGACUCCAUGAAGUUGGAAUCGCUAGUAAUCGUGGAUCAGCAUGCCACGGUGAAUACGUUCCCGGGCCUU